GGUCCUAAUGGCUUCUAAGAAGGAAAGUACCUGGUUGUGUCUUAUAGCCUUCUAGCCUGCCAAGACUGAGAAGAGUAGUAGCCUUUUUGGAAAUAUGUAUAUUCUGGUAGUGUCUCACUUUAGAAUAAUUGUGGUGGGAAUAAUCAUCAUUUCUCAUACUCUCUGGUCUAUAAUAGGAAUCUGUCCUAAGCAUCAUGACACUUAGAAGACAGCCAGAGAACUGAAUUACCAAAGGAGAAGGACCCCUGCUUUUCUCUCAGAACCAAAGGAUGUGGCAGAGUUGGAUAUCUUGAAAACCAGCUUCUGACAGUGCAUGGUGCCCAAGUCAGCUUGAAGAGGAUGAGAGACCCUGGAUAGCAUAGCCACAUCAGACCAUUCUCCUCAAUAGGAACUACUGACUGACAACAAUAGACAGAGCAGUCUGGAUUCUUAUGCUUCCAUGCUCUCUAGCAAGUUACCAAAUUUCAAGUUCUCAGAAGGCAUAAAAAGUGGGGUACCUAAUAUGGAACAGAGACUGAAGAGGGACGAGAUAAAGUAUGAGCGUUUGCGUGCUAAACCAAAAUCAGUCAAAAAUGUAGCUCCUACUUUUUACUAUACUCAUUUUGUACAUUUGCCAUACCUUGGGAUCUGGAGGAAGAAGUCAACUGAGUACUGUUGUAAAGCCUUGUCUCCUCGAGAUCUGUCUGACCUCAGCCAGGCAAAUGGAAUGCUCUGCUUGAGGCAUAGUGGGAUGACAGUCAGUCGGUGAAACCCUGGGUGUUGCCUCACUCUGCUCUGUGGUCAUUCUGAGGGAAGGCAGGAACCCAUUGUCUUCAUCAGUGUUAGCUCUGUGUCGUGGGUGUGAAGUUAGAGAAGCCAAGCAGGAGUGCUUUCCUUCUUCAUCUCAGAGUGAGAAAUUACUCAUCACUGCCCAGGGGACACCAGCUUGGGUUCUUUCUUCCUUUCAUGAAGAAGCCACUCAUUUUUUUUGCUAAUAAGUCACAUGAC
This 987-nucleotide long non-coding RNA is filed under the name Cricetulus griseus (Chinese hamster). Its description in RNAcentral is "lncRNA (ENSCGRG00015043247.1)". Lineage: Eukaryota; Metazoa; Chordata; Mammalia; Rodentia; Cricetidae. The record is from RNAcentral.